This is a long non-coding RNA of Trachemys scripta elegans, 1988 nucleotides long. RefSeq lists it as uncharacterized. The transcript has 9 exons. Lineage: Eukaryota; Metazoa; Chordata; Testudines; Emydidae. The record is from RefSeq and is a predicted model, not a curated record.
CUGGGCACUUCCCCCACCCCGCAGUAGCAGCGGCGGCGCCGCACCCUAGUUAGCCUGCCCCCGCUGCGCCCGCGCGGCGGGGCGCGUUCGAUCAGCCCUGCGCCUAUGUUGCGCGCUCCCAUUUCCCUCCCUCCUCCUCCUUCUCCUUCUCCCCACCCUUGGCCGAACGAGACGAGCUGCGAGGGAGGGGCUGCUGCGACGCGCUCCCGCUGUGGUAGAGUGGGGAAUUGAACCCAAGUAUCCCACAUCAGUGCUGUAACCAUUGGACUACCACCAGCAGCUUUUGAAUGGGACCUACUCUGGUGGUAAUACAGCACUGGAUAUAUUUAAGAAACAGCCUCCUGAUUUUAUUAGCGAGACAAGGUAAAAGUGGAAAGACCAGAGCAGGAACGCCCCCUCUAAUGAUGAUCACCUGUUGAGAGAUCCACCGGACUCUAGGGGAUUUCAGACACUCUGGUCUCAAGAGCCUGUGCUUGGUUUCUGAGGGCCAUGAAUUGCUUACACCGAAGGCACAUGUAGGCCACCUACCCACAAGUAAGAGAGAGACACAGACAAGAAUGAGAACUUGCUAUUUAAGCACUGAGCCAUUGACAGGUGUCAAUCCACAUAAAAGGAACCAACUCUUCCUCUCCCUUCCUUGUCCUCAGUCUGCAAAGUUUUAACAAGUUAAUCUCUCAUCCAAUAUAAAUCCAAUCACACCUCUAACUGUCUUUGCUGCUCUUCUCCAAUCUCUGCUUUAUCUUUCUUGCGGGGAGCCAGUGACAACUGAGCUCAGUAAUCCAGAUGGUAAUGAACAAGAUUUCUUCGACGCUGGUGGCAGUAAAGGAAAAUUAAUGAAAGUUUUCUACAUAGUUCUUAAGAGCAAAAGUCUGCAAAGAUCUGAGGGAAGUUUGUGCUCGAGAUGCAAAUGGCAGGCCUUCAUCCAUCUCCCAUAUGAGCCUGUACACACAUUAUUAUAAGAAUAACUGGAUUCUUUGAGAAGGCCACCUAAAUCAGAAAGACCAGAAGCUACUGACCCGAGCAAGAACUCCAGUGAUUGCCCUGGACUCCUCCAAUACGGACUGAUCUGCCAGCUUCCUGAUGGCUCGUGCACCCUUGACUACUGCUAUGGAUCAUCCCCCUACCCUGCCUCGGCCACCAAGCAUUACACCCAUCCAACUAUUAAGUCUCUGGGACUGCUUCCUCUCUUCCUGCUACAAGGCCAUUUGUUUAUUCAAAGAUCCCUGGAAUGGGUUCUUCUGGCCCUCUCUGGCAUUAAUAGCCAGUAUACCCUUUUACAGGGAGAAUUUAAACACUACUCUAGAGUGUCAUAAACAUAAACACAAAAGCAUUGUGUUAGAGCAUGAGAAUGAGAAAGUGAAACUGACACAAACCAGGGAAGUGAAACUUUCAGUCUACUAUCAUUAUCAAAGCUGAGUAAAAUGUAAAAAAGUAAGUGGUAUUCAUUCACUUUUAGUAUUCUAAGACAGCAGUUUAACAACUAUGGUUUGUGAAUCACUGGCUGCAUGGUGCUGGUGAUCCUUGUUUCCAGUUUUUAAAUUGCAUUAAAAGACAGUUAAACAUAGCAAAUGAUUUUCUAAUAUUAAAUGUCUGUGUAAGCAAAUUGCUGUAGUUCCACAGGGAUGUCAUGCUGGAGUGAACUGAAGGGGAGGUGGUCUGUAUAGUCAUGAAUGGCAGAGAGGUGAUCUCUCAAUUUAAGAUGUGGUUCACAUUGCAAACUAAUUUGAAGAUAGCAGAUCCAAAUUGUUAUAAAUGAUAGCAGGCAAGUAUCUUAUUAUUUUGCUGUAAAUAUGUUUCUUAUUUUGUACAGAGGAUGAAAUGCCCAAGAAAAAUACUUAUCUGAUGAACUUAUCAUAAUUGAAAAUUAAGAGAAAUAACCUAUUAUUUUUAAUGUUAAAAAUUAGAUAGACAUGUAUAAUAUUACAGCUGCAACCUUGCAGUCAGUUCCAUUUGGUAUUAUUGCGUUUAAACAGAUUCAUGGGCACAGU